GGCGACCAUCUCUUCGGAAGCCUAACGAUCCAGCACAGGUCCCAGCCCUGCGCAGCCGCCCGCCAAGCCGCCAGAGGACCAGCCGAACGCCAAAGGCUAGGAGUGGACGAUUGCAGGAAGUUUCCAACUCGCCGACUUCGCCCCACUCCACUGGCUCCGGCUUGGCGGUCCCCGGCUUCGGGGUGCCCUCCGUCCCUCCCCCUCGCGUCGUCGCGUUCUCCCUUGGCAUAACCCCCCGCCGCGGGGCCGCAGACCCCCUAAGCGCUUCGUGCGCUCUCCGCGCCCUGCCCACCGGCCCCGACCCCUCCCCCGACCGGACGGGAGAGGUGGGAAGUUUGGGGGCACCCGCUGUGGGUGUCCCAUUUGCGGGGCUGGGCUCCGGGGAGCCGGCGCGCGGCGCCCGCUCCCUGCCCGCCAGCCGUUUGGGAGCUCAGGCGCGGGCAGCCGCUUUUGUUCCCGGGAAGGGCGGAGCUGCGUCCCGGGGAGACACGCGUUGCAGCCGGCAGCGUAGUUGCUCCCCGCUGGCCGGCCGCUCCGGGAGGGCCCCGCAGCGGAGGGUCGGGGCUGGGGCGGGCUGGGGAGGGGGCCCAGGGCUGGGGCCGGUUCGGCCUCCCGGGUGGCGCGCGGGCCGAGGAGCUAGGAGGACCGCCGCGCCGCUUGUCCUUUGGAUAAACCUUGGCGGUUCCUCCUCUGGUGUCCGUGGACCCCGCCGCGGCGUUCUCCAGGGCCGCGGACCUUUGCCCACCGGUUGCGCCCGCUGCCCCGGGCAGAAAGGACCCCCCUCCUCCCGGACCGAGCCCCGAGCCCCAUGGAGCAGGCAAGGGCCAGAGUCCCGGGGCCGAGGCCCGACCGGCGGACGCUCCGGGACCUUUUCCCGCCCCCGAGGGUGCAUGUCCGGCCGGGGCCGGGACUGGCUGGGAAACCGAGGCCAGAAGAGGUCGCAAUCCAGCGAGGAAUCGGACUUUCCUGCAUUCCUACAGCAAAUCCUGGUUGGUCAUGGUGGAGACUGUAAAGCAAUCAUUCUCAAGGAGGGGCUUUUUCACGCAGUAUGCCUGGAGAGAGGCUGCACCACCACCGCGUUCCUCCCCGAUGAGUCCAGUGAGCCACGGCUGCGGGCUACGGUGUUGUGGUGCUCGGGUGUGUUGGAAGGAAAUGGUUCCCGAGGCAUGCCAGCUAGCACCUGACCUACAAGAUUCCAGCUGUUUAACUGCCAUCACAAAGGCUCAUGAUGUGUUGACAGUAUUUCUGCCUGCUGCUCUGAAAAUUCAAGGAAAUAAAUACCUGACAUUUAUUGAAUGCCAGAAGCUGUUCUAAGAACUUUCUAUGUAUUAUCUAUUUUAGUCAUUAUAAUAUCCUUAUGAAAUAGGCACUUUUAUCCCCAUUUUACAGAUGAAUAAAAUAAGGCACAGAAGGGUUAAGCAACUUUCACAGGUAGAAAGCUGCACAGCCAGGAUUUAAGCCCAAGCUCUUAACCACUGCACUACAUCAAUGCAGCAAAGGCUGAAUGAACCAGAGUAUUUGAUUUACUUAGCUCUUAUGCUGGAAAGAUGGUGAGGCUUUUGCUCAUGGUCUGUAUUCAAGCACAAAUACCAAAAUCAAGGACACCUUUGCAUUGGUGCUCCAUAGGAGGUUUCCUUUUUUGUUGUUUAGAGAGAAGGUCUUACUCUGUUGCCCUGGCUGGAGUGCAGUGGUGCGAUCACAGCUCACUGCAGCCUUGACCUCCAGAGCUCAAGCAAUCCUCCACCUCAGCCUCCUGAGUAGCUGGGACUAUAGGUGCGCACUUCCACACCCAGCUAAUUUUUAAUUUUUUUUUUUUUGUAGAGACCGUCUCCCUAUAUUGCCCAGGUUGGUCUAGAAUUCCUAGGGCUCAAGUGAUCCUCCCGCCUUGGCCUAUUGGGAUUACAGAUAUGAGCCAUGGCACCCAACCUCAGAAGAGGCGCUUUUCUUGAGUUCUGGAAGGGGAUAGGAAUUAAUGUUUUGUUUGUUUGUUUGUUUUUUACUCGUCACAGAAAAGGUUCAAAGAGUAAGAUAAGCAACGUCUCAUAAUGCUGUAGUCUAAUGGACAAGGGCCCUAGCCAUCUGUGCCUGGAUGACUCUUCCUCCCAAUUUUUAAGUGUCAAAAGAUAAUUUAGAAUCUGGCAUUCUGCAUUAGAAAUCUGAACCAGUGGAGCUGUGUGCUGAUUUUCAUCAGCUUAAGUUGUCUUUAUUGUCAGUGGCUUCCUUUCCCCACAGCAGCUUUAUGGAGGCACGUGCCCAGGCAUAUGAGGAGCUUCUGUCCUUUAGUGUAUGUACACCCACAAUGCUGCAGAGAAGAGAAUCAGCAUACUGUUGGGACACAGCAGGUACCACUGCCUUCUGAAGUUUCUAGAGGUGCUAUGCCUUCAUUGUUUUCCUGCACAUGAACAUUAACAUCCACAUCAGGAUCUGGAAACCUUUACAGAAGCUGAAGUUUUAAAAAGAAAAUGAAUGGGAUUUUAUUCAAGAUAAGGAAAGGAUAAGAGUGAAUCAUCAAAUGAAACCAUGAGGCCACUUCACAAAUAUUUUAUCAAAAAACUCACCUGAGAAAACUCAAAGAAUCACAGUAAUAAGCUGUCUAUGCCAUAUUUUUUUUUUCCUUUUUUGAAAAUGCCAAGAAGCUACUACUAAGAAUGUAUUCAAGAGACGGAAGUUCCAAGAUUCAUCACAGGGUCAGGUGGGCUCAACUUAGUUUCCUGGGCCCUCUAUAACACUUCAUGUUCAGAAUUGUCUCCAAAUAAAAGCAAUUUAAGGGAACAUUCAAUAUGGGUGUCUUUGCUGUGCUUGCAGUCUUAAUUCUGUGGACACUGAUAUUCUAUCAAUGGAAAAUUGAGCCUUUAGUGAACUUGAAUACCCUGUUCCCCAAUCACUGCCCAGAGAGCAGUUUCUGAGCAGCCAACAUGUCAGAGGCAGGAAAACAGCAGCUAAAAGGCAAAGGAGAAAAAUGGAAGACACCUGCCUUUACACGUGUAUUUUAAGCUAAAUAACCAUGAUAAAAUAUCACCAACACCCAUUUUUUGUAACUUCUUAAUUGUCCCACAUCAAAGAUAAGUAUGGACAACUGUAAUUGGUUCUUAUAUAUCCCUAAAUUCCUAAUUGAAAUCAAUUCCAAUAAAUCGUUGGUGCUCAGUAGAAAAAUGCAAAAUUUAAAUAUAUAUAUUCAGUAGAAGUUACCUUCAUAACUUGUGGGGCAUUAUCAAAAUAUAAUUGGAAACCCCUCUUUGUAACCAACUAACCAAAUGAUCUUUUCUUAAAGGCACAAAUUAAAAGGUGGCAAAACAACCAUAUAUUUAGUGUGUGGGAUCACAUUCUCCUAAAGAGCAUCAGGAAAUGUAGGUAGAAGUCAAUGUUGUAGCCUAGGUUAGAAGGCCCUGCUUGCUGGGAGUUAACUCUGGUUAUUGGAUUGUGGGGAGGUGUGGCAGGGAAGGUGGUCAGGGGAACACGGGCACUCCAGAAGCUCGGAGCAGCAGCUCAUCAGCUGUGAGGCACCGUCAGCAUCCUUGCGUCCUGUGUGGCUGUGAGGCACCGUCAGCAUCCUCGCGUCCUGUGUGGCUGUGAGGCACUGUCAGCAUCCUCGCGUCCUGUGUGGCUGUGAGGCACCGUCAGCAUCCUCGCGUCCUGUGUGGCUGUGAGGCACCGUCAGCAUCCUCGGUCCUGUGCGGCUGUGAGGCACUGUCAGCAUCCUCGCAUCCUGUGCAGCUGGGCCAGGACAAACUGGCUGAACUGCAGCUCUGCUUGCAGCUUGCUAGAAAUACAACUUGGUAACAACAGGAGAUUGUGGACACACUAUUUUUCGUUAGUUUAUUACAAAACUACAGAUACAAUACACAAAAUUCUAAUUCCGAAAUCCUUCUACAUUUUUU
Molecule: long non-coding RNA, 3878 nt
Filed under: Homo sapiens (human)
Lineage: Eukaryota; Metazoa; Chordata; Mammalia; Primates; Hominidae
Description: HSALNT0243336
Source: RNAcentral